CCACUGAAUCAGUAGCCACAAGAAAGACGUCCUUUUCUCCGGGAGCUGCAUGGGGACUGCAGGAGUCCAAAGCCUCGCUGUGUUUUAUGGGGAACAGUUAUUAAUAUUGGGUCAAAUAAUCCAGUAUUUCUUCACUCUGGUGCUGAAGGUCCGCUGCGCUGCUCUUUACUUGUGUUUCCCCUUUACUCUGUUUUCAUUUAAAGCCCCUCAGUCUUAAAACAGCGGCACUAGCGGGCCUCCAGCGGGCCUUCAGCACCGAUAGUGAUUAUUACCCUGCCGGAUUAGAUUAGAGCAGCGCGGCGGAGCUCUGUAAGUCCCGGUGAGUAAUUUAGUUAGCUGACUGUUUCAGCUCUCGGUGAAGCGCGGUCUUAUUAUGAUACUUAAACGGCGCUGGGUGUUUGUUUUGUUUCUGAACGAGCAGGUGACGCUGCAACUGGAUUUUAUAAAGAUAUGAGAAAAGAAUGCUUUCGUCGUGGAUUUAACAUGAAAAGGCCCAGUUCCAAAAGACACAACAUCCUCAGUGUCCUGGAGCUCCAGCUGAAGCACUGGCCACUCCACCUUCUCCAUCCCCACCCAAAAGAGGUACUUCUAAGGCAGCUAGUUGAAGGCGUGAUUGAGGUCCAUGCCAGAGGGGUUCUGCACUGUGACCUCAAGCCAUAGAACAUCCUGGUUCAGAUGUACAGUUAGGAACCACGCCUUCAUCUUCUGUUCUUCUGGACCUUCCUCAUGAGUGGUUUACCCAUGAGGCCAAAUCCUCCACAGUGUUGCAGAUAGGAAUCAUCCUGCUGUGUGUGAGAGGUGACCCUUCAACACCAGCACGGAGAUCACCUCAAAGAAGUCUCAGAUCAUCUCUCCACCAUCUGCUCUAUGACCCCUGGCUAAGUAUACACCACGACACAGCCACCACAUCAGGCACACCUCAGUCAGGUACCAUAUAAAACAAUAAUAAUAAUAAUUUAAAAAAAUCUAUAUUUUCAAUCUCUAGUUUAGAGAGUUCUCUAGUAGAGCUGGGCGAUUAAUCGAUUUUAUCGAUAAAUUCGAAUUUAUAGUUAAGGACAAUGUGUUUUUAUGAAAAUCGAUUUUCUCUGAGUUUUCUUUUUCACCACAGACGCUCCUCUGUGGGCACAGAGUGAGCUUAGCUAGCUCCCUCCAUACCUCCCUCCCUCCAGCGCGCGCACCCCCCGCCCCUCCCUCACUCCCUCCCUCCCUCCCUUGCACGCACAAACACACACGCACACACACACAAAACACAUGACGGCGGAGCUUAAGAGCAACUAGCUCCGUGAUCUGGAGUUGGUUCGGUUUUGCGGCGUCGGACGUAGACCAAACAGGUCCUCACUGUAAGGUGAACUAAUUUAUCACUAUACCUUAAACAGAACCAUGUAGCGGAGUGGGAGAAGUGCUGCUACCAUAGGAAUGAACGCAGCAGCAGCACCAGUUCACCAUUCAACGUUAAACAAGGAAUUGUCCCUGGCACAUCUUCCAACCGUGUACCAGGUUUUGUAUGCACUACAAGUUAAGAUGUUUUGCAUAUUCAUGAGAAAAGAUCUCAUUUUAUAGAAUACUGGCACUUAUUUAAAUGCUUUGUUUUGCAAUUCUAGCCCAAUAGGGAAAAGUAUUUACUUAAGAGCAUAUAAAUUGUACUUGUUUUCUAUUGUCUACUUUGUAAGUUUUAUCAAAAAAGGGCACCAUUUUAUUUAUUUCUAUUUGUUUUUAAGGGUGUGUUUAUUUAUUUAUUUAUUUUUUUAGUUUGAGGGUGCAUUGUGUCAGUACCUAAACUAUGUUGGAGAAAGCUUUCUAAAAGUCACUAGAUGUUCUCACUGUUUACAAUAGUUUUUUUUUUUGCUUGUUUCUGGUUGCACUUUAACCACAAAUGGAACAUUUUAAGUGAAAACAAAUUAAAUAAGAACUAGUUUUUAACCAUUUCUUUAUCAUCUUUAGUUUGAUUUUUAGUAGGGGGAAAAAAAUCGAUUUAAACCUUUGGAUGUUUAUUAAUUACUUAACUGUAUUAAUCUUUAUGUAGUAUACUGUUAGUGUUUUAAUCCAUACACUUUUUGUAUAUAUUUAUUUUAUUGUUUAGUUACUUGCUUUAUUAAUGGUUAUUGUAUUGGUGUUUUAGUCUUAUUUUGGGCUUAUAUUCAUUAAAAACAUUUUAACGUUUGUCUUUUAGUGCUUUAAUCAAUUAAUAUUGUACUUACCUUUUACUAUUUUACUAUUAAUCUUUCUGUACUUAAUUAUACAUUAUUUUUUUUAUUUUUUUUAUAAUAUUAAAGGCGGGUUUAUUAAUUGUAUGUCUUUAUACAUUUUUAUACAUUUUUUUAUAUGUUUAUGCUCUUUGUCUUUUUCAGAUUUUUACAUUUUUAAUUUGUGUAUUGACCCAAGGAGUAUGGGUUCCUCUCAAGGUUUCUAUCUCUCUUUCUGAGAGAAUUUUCUUUGCCGCUGUCUCCUUUGUGCUUACUCAAAAGAGGUUUGGACACUUUUUUUUUUUUUUUUUUUUUAACUGUUCUUAAUUUUGUUUGUUUCUUAACUUUGUCAAUAAAUGUUUUUUUAUUGC
Long non-coding RNA from Astyanax mexicanus (Mexican tetra), 2554 nucleotides. RefSeq lists it as uncharacterized. The transcript is spliced from 5 exons. The record is from RefSeq and is a predicted model, not a curated record. NCBI's taxonomy places the organism in Eukaryota, Metazoa, Chordata, Actinopteri, Characiformes, Acestrorhamphidae.